AACGUAGGGGGCAAGCGUUAUCCGGAAUUACUGGGCGUAAAGGGCGUCUAGGCGGCCUGCUAAGUCUUGUGUGAAAGCUCCCGGCUCAACUGGGAGAGCGCAUAAGAUACUGACAGGCUAGAGACUCGGAGAGGGGUGUGGAAUUCCCGGUGGAGUGGUGAAAUGCGUUGAGAUCGGGAGGAACACCAGUGGCGAAAGCGGCACCCUGGCCGAGUUCUGACGCUGAAGCGCGAAAGCGUGGGGAGCGAACGGG
Molecule: ribosomal RNA, 253 nt
Filed under: uncultured bacterium
Lineage: Bacteria
Description: partial 16S ribosomal RNA
Rfam family: Bacterial small subunit ribosomal RNA
Source: RNAcentral